RNAcentral lists this ribosomal RNA (463 nucleotides) under uncultured bacterium. RNAcentral describes it as "partial 16S ribosomal RNA". It matches the Rfam family "Bacterial small subunit ribosomal RNA", at positions 28 to 507 of the family's 1533-position model. The record is from RNAcentral.
GAUGAACGCUGACAGAAUGCUUAACACAUGCAAGUCUUUGGCGAAGCUGUGCUUGCACAGCCUAGCCAAGGCGGACGGGUGAGUAACGCGUAAGGAACUUGCCCUGCAGUCAGGGAUAACAGACGGAAACGACUGAUAAGACCUGGUAAAGUCAGGCGGACUCAUGUCCAGCCUGAUGAAAAGAGAUGCUGCAGGAGAGCCUUGUGUCCUAUUAGCUUGUUGGUGGGGUAACGGCCCACCAAGGCGAUGAUAGGUAGCCGGCCUGAGAGGGUGGACGGCCACAAGGGGAGUGAGAUGCGGCCCUUACUCCUACGGGAGGCAGCAGUGGGGAAUAUUGGACAAGGGGGGCAACCCUGAUCCAGCAAUUCUGUGUGCACGAUGAGGGUUUUCGGAUUGUAAAGUGCUUUCAGCAGGGAAGAAAAAAAUGACGGUACCUGCAGAAGAAGCGACGGCUAAAUACGUG